This is a long non-coding RNA of Sapajus apella (tufted capuchin), 1224 nucleotides long. RefSeq lists it as uncharacterized. The record is from RefSeq and is a predicted model, not a curated record. The transcript is spliced from 2 exons. NCBI's taxonomy places the organism in Eukaryota, Metazoa, Chordata, Mammalia, Primates, Cebidae.
CCACCUUGGCCUCCCAAAGUGCUGGGAUUACAGGCAUGAACCACUUUGCCUUGCCAGAAAAAUCAUAAUUAUUUUAGUUAUGAAAAUCAUAAUUUCUCACAAAAAUAAUUUGCCCUUUUUAUUAAACAGAUCCUAGUAUUCCUGAAAUUCUGUGGUGCUUUUUCUAUAUGUAAUGUGAUACUCUGACGAAAUAGCUGAUUUAGGUAGCUGCUCACAUAUGUUUGCUUUAAAUUGAAAAGCUGGCCUAUGAGAAUGAGUGUUGUAUAAAAAUGGUUUAUGUGAACUAAAAAGUUGUUUGCAUUUUGUGGCAAAUAAAAGCACCAAAUUCCCAGAUCCUAAAUGUUUAAGUAAUGAAAUAUUUGAAGUACCUCUGAAUUUACACAUCGGCAUUCCACUCAUUUAGGGACUUAUUGAUUUUAAGAUUUUUCAUUCAUCAAAAGGGAAAAUGUGAGCUGCCAUAUGUAUAAUUUUUGUCAUCCAAAAAAGAGAUUUAAAGUUGAAAAUUAAAGUACAGGCCGUGGUGGGUCAUACCUGUAAUCCCAGCACUUUGGGAGGCAGAGGCAGGAGGAUUACUUGAGCCCAGCAGUUUGAGGAUGCAGUGAGCUGUGGUCACAUCACUGCACUGUAGCCAGAGUGACAGAGGGAGACCCUGUCUCUAAAACAAAACAAAGCAAACAAAAAGGCUGCUUAGAAAUCAUGAACUGUUCUUUUUACUAUCAGGACAUGUGAUCAUAUGUCUACUCGGGAGUAAGGUCUAGCCAGUUCUCAGUAGAUGUUCAGUUAUUAAAUUGGAAUGAAGGCAUGAAUGUGGGGAUGAAGUGGAGGAGGGGCUGAGUUGGAGAUACUGGUGAUUUGGGAGGUGUUAGUAACACUGAAUGUGGGCAUAGAAGUGGUGAGGAAGAGGAGUCAAGGAUGAGUUGAGGGUUUCUGGUUUGGGUGCCUUGGAAGAUGGUGCUAGCAAGCAGCCACUCACCAAGAAAGCAAGUAAGGGGAAAGAUCAGGUUUAGGAGGGAGGAUGCAUUCAGGCAAUGAAUGUAUGGCAUACACCAGGCAGUGAGUAAAUUGUGAGUGAGUAAAUCUGGGCCUGUGUGUUUUGAGAUGUCUGUGGGAUAUUUAAGUUUCUCUGGUUUCUUAUCAAGAAGGUAGAACUGGUCUGCAGAGAGAGCUUUUGGAUUUGUUGAAGUCAUGGGCUUAGAUGCAGCCAUCUGAACUGUGUGUGUAAAG